Non-coding RNA from Podarcis lilfordi (Lilford's wall lizard), 73 nucleotides. NCBI's taxonomy places the organism in Eukaryota, Metazoa, Chordata, Lepidosauria, Squamata, Lacertidae. The record is from the annotation of a GenBank genome assembly.
GAAUCUAUAGCUCAGUUGGUAGAGCAUGAGACUCUUAACUACAGGGUCAUGGUUUGAGCCCCAUGUUGGGUGA